Molecule: ribosomal RNA, 358 nt
Filed under: Haptophyta environmental samples
Lineage: Eukaryota; Haptophyta
Description: SSU rRNA
Rfam family: Eukaryotic small subunit ribosomal RNA
Source: RNAcentral
UAGCGUAUAUUAAAGUUGUUGCAGUUAAAAAGCUCGUAGUCGGAUUUCGGGGCGGGCCGAGCGGUCUGCCGAUGGGUAUGCACUGGUCGGCGCGGCCUUCUUUCCGGAGACCGCGGCUACUCUUAACUGAGCGGGCGUGGGAGACGGAUCGUUUACUUUGAAAAAAUCAGAGUGUUUCAAGCAGGCAGCUCGCUCUUGCAUGGAUUAGCAUGGGAUAAUGAAAUAGGACUCUGGUGCUAUUUUGUUGGUUUCGAACACCGGAGUAAUGAUUAACAGGGACAGUCAGGGGCACUCGUAUUCCGUCGAGAGAGGUGAAAUUCUCAGACCAAUGGAAGACGAACCACUGCGAAAGCAUUUG